This 531-nucleotide ribosomal RNA is filed under the name uncultured bacterium. Its description in RNAcentral is "partial 16S ribosomal RNA". The record is from RNAcentral.
GUAGUUAGCCGGGGCUUCCUCCUCAGGUACCGUCAUUCUUUUCGUCCCUAAGGACAGAGGUUUACAAUCCGAAAACCUUCUUCCCUCACGCGGCGUUGCUGGGUCAGGCUUUCGCCCAUUGCCCAAUAUUCCCCACUGCUGCCUCCCGUAGGAGUCUGGACCGUGUCUCAGUUCCAGUGUGGCCGAUCAGCCUCUCAGCUCGGCUACCCAUCGCGGACUUGGUGGGCCGUUACCCCGCCAACUAUCUAAUGGGACGCGAACCCCUCCUUCUGCGGAUUGCUCCUUUGACCUCAUCCCGAUGCCGGGUCGUGGUCUUAUGCGGUAUUAGCACUUGUUUCCAGGUGUUAUCCCCCUCAAAAGGUCAGGUUGUUCACGCGUUACUCACCCGUUCGCCACUAAGCAUCAACCGAAAUCAAUGCUCCGUUCGACUUGCAUGUGUUAGGUCGACGCCGCCGACGCGUCGUUCCGUCGAGCGACGAANACAACUACUACGUACUACGAGACGGGCGGUCGGCGAACGGACGGCGAUAG